This 624-nucleotide ribosomal RNA is filed under the name Triticum aestivum (bread wheat). RNAcentral's name for it is "partial small subunit ribosomal RNA". Lineage: Eukaryota; Viridiplantae; Streptophyta; Magnoliopsida; Poales; Poaceae. The record is from RNAcentral.
AUGCAUGGGGUACCGAUGGGCGAGCACUUGGGGAGAAACCCUCGGCUACUCGGGGUGGUCGACAAGGCCAUGGUGCAGAUCUCGGUGAUGGUGACCAGCAAGUUGUUGGAGCGCUUCCACGGGUUCGACGAUGUGGCCGUGCUCGUCGAUGUUGGUGGCGGCACCGGUUCUACCCUAGAUAUGAUCACCUCCAGGUACAAGCAUAUCAGGGGCAUCAACUUCGACCUGCCUCAUGUCAUCUCCCUCGCGCCGUCUAUUCUCGGUGUCGAACAUAUAGCUGGAAAUAUGUUUGAUAAUGUUCCCACUGGAGAUGCCAUUUUCUUAAAGGUACUCCAUAUGUUGGAUGACAAUGACUGCAUAAAGGUUCUAAAAAAUUGCCAUCAAGCUUUGCCAGACAAGGGGCGAUUGAUCGCUGUUGAGUUUGUCUUGCCGGCUACUCCAGAGGUGACGAGGGCAGCACAAAAUCUCUACAUUCUCAAUGUGAUGAUGUUAAAUAACUCAGAGGGUGGGAAGGAGAGAACUGUGCAAGAGUUUCUGAAGCUGGCUAGGGAAUCGGGUUUCAGCGGCACCUUCCAGUCAACUUACAUUUUUGGAAACUUUUGGGCUCUCGAAUUUACCAAAUAG